UUUAACUUCUUGUAUAGACAUUAAUUAAUUUAUGACAUGACGACGUUCUAACAAAAAUUAAACCCCUAAAUUUGCAACUUAAAUGUUAAUCUUCAUUGGUUUUCAAAAAAAAAAAAAAAUGUUAAUCUUCAUUUAAAAAUUAGACUUUCAAAUAAGAUCAUGUAAUUACGCGUACAUCAUCAUGUCUAGGUUUGAGUUUCAAAUAGAUAGCCAAGUUCAUAUAUACUUGCAUUACAAUACUACAAAUUCAUACUUAAUUUUCUUAGUCC
This 269-nucleotide long non-coding RNA is filed under the name Capsella rubella. Its description in RNAcentral is "long non-coding RNA (CRUB_LNC003578)". Lineage: Eukaryota; Viridiplantae; Streptophyta; Magnoliopsida; Brassicales; Brassicaceae. The record is from RNAcentral.